AAAAAGGUAAACCGUGGGUUCCGUGCCAACGUUUGACUAUCCGUCUUAUAUGAAAUUUUUUUAUAGUUAGUAUUAUCAUUGUUGUUAGAUGAUAAAACAUGAUUAAUACUUUAUACGUGACUUGUCUUUUUAAACUUUUUCAUAUUUUUUUAAAAUAAGACGGACGGUCAAAUGUUGGACACGAAAACCAGGGUUUGUCUUUUU
This is a non-coding RNA of Oryza nivara, 204 nucleotides long. NCBI's taxonomy places the organism in Eukaryota, Viridiplantae, Streptophyta, Magnoliopsida, Poales, Poaceae. The record is from Rfam.